Tupaia belangeri chinensis (Chinese tree shrew) is the source of this 1891-nucleotide long non-coding RNA. RefSeq lists it as uncharacterized. NCBI's taxonomy places the organism in Eukaryota, Metazoa, Chordata, Mammalia, Scandentia, Tupaiidae. The transcript has 3 exons. The record is from RefSeq and is a predicted model, not a curated record.
AUGUCUAUACAUAGAAACCCACACCAACCCACCCUGCAACCUCAGCCAGCCUGGGACAGCAGUCUCUGCUCCUCUUCGAUGGACCGGCCCUGAUGGAGAAGAAGGAUCCAACCUUGGAAGGCAAGACUACAGUAGAAAGUGCCUUCAGGAGCCAGGAGACCAGAUGGCCUUUGAGAGACAACAGAGAGGAAGAAACAGAGACACAGCACUCCCCACAGGAUCCACCCUCGGCUUCAGACAGCCUCUGAUCACGAACAAGCAGCCCAGAGUACUCAGAGAGGUCUCCAGGUACAAACCUGGAACUUUCCCAUGCCGUCAGCUUCUCGGAGUGUCACGUCGUACCACUGCGUCACCACCUGGCCCCAACUCCUCCUCAUCCUUCACAGCCAGCUCGGAUAUUGUGAAGCCACCCUGACUUUUCCGCCACUCUUUCAGAACUGAGUUCAGCGCUCUGGAUUAGAAGUACUUAGGAGGGAUUUUCUUCUUUAAUAAACUAUGAACUUCUUAAGAAUAAGGACCAAGUUUCAUUAAAUUUUGCUCUCAGUAUAGAAAUAACAGAGCAUAGUAUCUGAUAAAUGAAUGAAAGAAUGACAUUAACAGAGAGGGAGAGGGUCUGGAAGAGGAGCCAACUGACAGUACUCGAGCUCGGAAAUCUCCUUCUUUAAGAAAAAGAGAACUUUACAGCAUGAGACGUGAGCCAGGUCCCUCUCAGCACUUUUGCCUGGCCACCUCACAGGAAUUAGCCUUUGACCUCCCCUUCCCAGCUCCUGGCCAUCUGAACUGCAAAUCGCCUGCCAACCCAAACAAAACCAUGUACACAGUGGUCAGGAGCCUGGGGCAGCUCAGAGGACGAGUGCUUCCAUGAUUUUCACAUGUAAGUCAAAAUUUCCAGACUGACCGGAUCCAAGUGUAUCCCACAGUCCGACUUGAAGCUCUCAUCGUAUGAUACAAGUCGUGUAAGGGAUCAAUUAGGACUGGGUAGUGUGGUUGGGAAUUCUUCCAAUAAGAAGCAGAAAAAAAAAAACAACAACCAGAAAGGAGCUUCCGGACCAGAAGGGAGGCUGGAUAAGUCUAUGAAAAUGGCACCAGGAGGAACUAGGGUGAGAGAAGAGACAUCUGAGAUUGUGGCUGGCCUGUCCCCAGCUUGCAAGAACUCAGGAAACCUGAGGGAGCCAGGCUGCUGAGGAAUGCGAGAACGUUUACAUCUCUCCCCUCACACCCACGCGGCCAUACUUUCUCUAUUUAUUUAUAGUGCCUCUUCACACAAACAAACUCAUUCCCCUCUGAGACAUAAGCUCUGCUCUGGGCUUUGGCACCCGAUGGGGGAGGCCUCUUAAGAGAAUCAGAAGAAAAACCUCAGCUGUCCUGUGGCUGAGCUGUGCAACCUUGAGAAAGGGACCACACUUCUCUGACUCCUUUCAUCUGGCAUGUGCCAGAUGUGUAGGAGCAUAGAACGGACUCAAAGGGGAGAAUCACUGGGCAAGGAGAGGCAGCUCUGUCACAGGACCAGGGGCAGGCGGCAGGGAUAGGACUAUUUAUAUUCGAUUCUGCCUUCAACACAGGCACUGAAGUUCAUAGACACUCAGAAAGUUAGGGACUCAGAGACUGUCCAAUGUGCUCAUUGUCCAGAUGUGGAAACUGAAUCCUAGAGAGGGCUCUGGACUUGCCUAAGACCACAGAUUCACAGAGCACAGACUCAGGCCAGUCUUUAGAUCUAGAGGGGAGACUCAGAGGAACAUCCAUCCUCCAAGGGACAGGAUGAGAGGACAUGGCUUUAACUAGAAAACACAAGAAUUCAGGGGAGACAUGAAGAAGAAUGCCUGAGGACAGAAAUGAGUAACAGAAGAAGGCUAUGGACAGCCUAGAGCAGGGAGAUGCCUGAAAUGAUCUC